Molecule: ribosomal RNA, 293 nt
Filed under: uncultured bacterium
Lineage: Bacteria
Description: partial 16S ribosomal RNA
Rfam family: Bacterial small subunit ribosomal RNA
Source: RNAcentral
UGGUCCUACGGGAGGCAGCAGUGGGGGAUAUUGCACAAUGGGGGGAACCCUGAUGCAGCGACGCCGCGUGGGUGAAGGAGCGUUUCGGCGCGUAAAGCCCUAUCGGCAGGGAAGAAGAUGACGGUACCUGACCAAGAAGCCCCGGCUAACUACGUGCCAGCAGCCGCGGUAAUACGUUGGGGGCCAGCGUUAUCCGGAUUUACUGGGUGUAAAGGGGGCGCAGACGGCCAUGCAAGCCCGGAGUGAAAGCCCGGGGCCCCCCCCCGGGACUGCUCUUUGUACUGCCUUGCUUG